Molecule: ribosomal RNA, 301 nt
Filed under: uncultured bacterium
Lineage: Bacteria
Description: partial 16S ribosomal RNA
Rfam family: Bacterial small subunit ribosomal RNA
Source: RNAcentral
CAGUAGCCGCGGUAAUACAGAGGGUGCAAGCGUUAAUCGGAAUUACUGGGCGUAAAGCGCGCGUAGGUGGUUUGUUAAGUUGGAUGUGAAAUCCCCGGGCUCAACCUGGGAACUGCAUUCAAAACUGACUGACUAGAGUAUGGUAGAGGGUGGUGGAAUUUCCUGUGUAGCGGUGAAAUGCGUAGAUAUAGGAAGGAACACCAGUGGCGAAGGCGACCACCUGGACUAAUACUGACACUGAGGUGCGAAAGCGUGGGGAGCAAACAGGAUUAGAUACCCCUGUAGUCCCUGUCUCUUAUAA